UGCUUAUUCAAUAAGCGGAGGAAAAGAAACCAACCGGGAUUGCCUUAGUAACGGCGAGUGAGCGGCAAAAGCUCAAAUUUGAAAUCUGGUACCUUCGGUGCCCGAGUUGUAAUUUGGAGAGGGCAACUUUGGGGCCGUUCCUUGUCUAUGUUCCUUGGAACAGGACGUCAUAGAGGGUGAGAAUCCCGUGUGGCGAGGAGUGCGGUUCUUUGUAAAGUGCCUUCGAAGAGUCGAGUUGUUUGGGAAUGCAGCUCUAAGUGGGUGGUAAAUUCCAUCUAAAGCUAAAUAUUGGCGAGAGACCGAUAGCGAACAAGUACAGUGAUGGAAAGAUGAAAAGAACUUUGAAAAGAGAGUGAAAAAGUACGUGAAAUUGUUGAAAGGGAAGGGCAUUUGAUCAGACAUGGUGUUUUGUGCCCUCUGCUCCUUGUGGGUAGGGGAAUCUCGCAUUUCACUGGGCCAGCAUCAGUUUUGGUGGCAGGAUAAAUCCAUAGGAAUGUAGCUUGCCUCGGUAAGUAUUAUAGCCUGUGGGAAUACUGCCAGCUGGGACUGAGGACUGCGACGUAAGUCAAGGAUGCUGGCAUAAUGGUUAUAUGCCGCCCGUCUUGAAACCACGAACCA
This 618-nucleotide ribosomal RNA is filed under the name Saccharomyces sp. RNAcentral describes it as "partial large subunit ribosomal RNA". It matches the Rfam family "Eukaryotic large subunit ribosomal RNA", at positions 37 to 668 of the family's 3401-position model. The record is from RNAcentral. Lineage: Eukaryota; Fungi; Ascomycota; Saccharomycetes; Saccharomycetales; Saccharomycetaceae.